RNAcentral lists this transfer RNA (72 nucleotides) under Marmota marmota marmota (Alpine marmot). It matches the Rfam family "tRNA". From Rfam's summary of the family: Transfer RNA (tRNA) molecules are approximately 80 nucleotides in length. Their secondary structure includes four short double-helical elements and three loops (D, anti-codon, and T loops). The record is from Rfam by way of RNAcentral. Lineage: Eukaryota; Metazoa; Chordata; Mammalia; Rodentia; Sciuridae. RNAcentral also lists the same sequence under 1 other name.
UGGGGUGAAGCUCAGUGGUACAGUACUUGCCUAGCAUGUGCAAGGCCCUGGGUUUGAUCCCCAGCACUGCAA